RNAcentral lists this long non-coding RNA (1035 nucleotides) under Dromaius novaehollandiae (emu). RNAcentral describes it as "lncRNA (ENSDNVG00000019112.1)". The record is from RNAcentral. Lineage: Eukaryota; Metazoa; Chordata; Aves; Casuariiformes; Dromaiidae.
CUGUUGCAGGAAGAUGUAGGAUCUCAACCACAUUUGAAGGAGGGUGAAGUUUGCAGAGGCCCAAAGCUAAUCGCCACAGCCUCCUCUGCUAGUCAGUGAGGGGAAGCAGACUCCUCCAGCUUACAUAUGGCAAAUUCUUGCUUCAAAUAAUCCUGUGGAUAGGUCCUUUUCUCCCCAUUGAGUAUAAAGAGAGCUCCACUCAGCUGAGUGUAAGCUGUUGUGAACACUCCUCUCCCCCUCCCUGGUGUCCUUGGGUCAAGAUUGGGUGUCCUCGCCUGUGACACUUCAGAGUGCACUGGCUGCUGCAGUGGUGAGCAUGCUGGAGGCUCAUGUGCCAUGCUGUUGUCUUCUUGUUAGUCUGUAUGUGUGUUUAAUAUAAGUAAGAAUGAAGUGGAAUAGAGAAGUGGAGUCAGCAGCUCUCUGCCAGCCUCUGCGUGAGCCUUCCUGCCUUCAUUAAGGCUCUGUGUGUUUUCUAUUCCUCCUAUACAGGGAAAGGCAGGUAGGAAGGGUUGUCAUGUUUUAGGGGUAUCUAUUCUUAUCCUUUCUCUCUUCUUGCCAAGCUAUCCCCUUUCUCCUGCGCCUCUCAGAUUAUGGCAAUGCAGUGCCAGGAGAAGGUGACCCACUGUUGGGAUUGUGUGGGCCACUGAGGUGAAGAAAAUUGCAGGGAAUGGGUUUGUCACUAGUGCCACUUGCAGGGGACCUGCUGGAAAUGGCAAAGAAAGAGUUGAAGGGAGAGAAAGAGGGAAGAGGAGGGAGAGCGAGAACAUACAGCUGUUAAAAAUUCAAAAUCACAGGCUGCUCCAGAGCGAGGAUUUGCUGCAGACAAGUCAGGGAGAGGAGACUGGGUUUGUUUUGAAUGGCCAGUGGCAAUAGGGGUGUUUAGUUGGAUCUGCAGUGGUGGAGCUGGGAGAGGUCUCAGCAAAGCAGAGAGGAUGGGGAGUGAUGUGGCAUGGCUGAGCUACAGUCGCACUUGCCAGAGAAGGUGGAGGGAAAACCAGACCAAAGAUGAAGUAUUUGGACCUGGAGUGCAGGCUG